UGGGGAAUUUUCCGCAAUGGGCGCAAGCCUGACGGAGCAAUACCGCGUGAGGGAGGAAGGCCUUUGGGUUGUAAACCUCUUUUCUUAAGGAAGAAGAACUGACGGUACUUAAGGAAUCAGCAUCGGCUAACUCCGUGCCAGCAGCCGCGGUAAUACGGAGGAUGCAAGCGUUAUCCGGAAUUAUUGGGCGUAAAGCGUCCGUAGGCGGCUAGUCAAGUCUGCUGUCAAAGUUCAGGGCUUAACCCUGGGUAGGCGGUGGAAACUGAGUAGCUAGAGAGCGGUAGGGGUAGAGGGAAUUCCCAGUGUAGCGGUGAAAUGCGUAGAUAUUGGGAAGAACACCAGUGGCGAAGGCGCUCUACUGGGCCGUUACUGACGCUGAGGGACGAAAGCUAGGGGAGCGAAAGGGAUUAGAUACCCCGGUAGUCC
RNAcentral lists this ribosomal RNA (426 nucleotides) under uncultured prokaryote. RNAcentral's name for it is "bacterial SSU rRNA". It matches the Rfam family "Bacterial small subunit ribosomal RNA", at positions 355 to 796 of the family's 1533-position model. The record is from RNAcentral.